CCUACGGGUGACUGCAGUGAGGAAUAUUGGUCAAUGGGCGAGCGCCUGAACCAGCCAAGUCGCGUGAGGGAAGACGGCCCUAUGGGUUGUAAACCUCUUUUGUCGGGGAGCAAAGAUGCCUCGUGAGACCAGAAGUGAGAGUACCCGAAGAAAAAGCAUCGGCUAACUCCGUGACAGCAGCCGCGGUAAUACGGAGGAUGCGAGCGUUAUCCGGAUUUAGUGGGUUUAAAGGGUGCGUAGGCGGACUGGAAAGUCAGCGGUAAAAUCGCGGGGCUCAACCUCGUUCCGCCGUUGAAACUGGCGGUCUUGAGUGGGCGAGAAGUAUGCGGAAUGCGUGGUGUAGCGGUGAAAUGCAUAGAUAUCACGCAGAACUCCGAUUGCGAAGGCAGCAUACCGGCGCCCGACUGACGCUGAGGCACGAAAGCGUGGGUAUCGAACAGGAUUAGAUACCCGUGUAGUC
Molecule: ribosomal RNA, 460 nt
Filed under: uncultured bacterium
Lineage: Bacteria
Description: partial 16S ribosomal RNA
Rfam family: Bacterial small subunit ribosomal RNA
Source: RNAcentral